GGUAUUACUCUUCUCCCACUGAUCUCACAGUAACAGGCAUGGAACCCUGGCUGAGUCAUUUACUGAUUCUUGCUGCAUUUUGUUAUGAAUGCAGAGGAGAAGACUCAGUCAUUCAGCCACCAGGAGAUGUGAUCGCUACUGAGGGAGAACAGGUCACACUGGACUGUCGAUUUGAUGCAGUUAAUAUGAAGGAUCUCUACCUGUUCUGGUACAAGCAUGAAUUACAUGGCUUCCCAGAGUUCAUGUUGGGCCGUUUUCCUUUUGGAAGUAAAAAUGCCACUGAGUUCAAGGAUAGAUUUGAUGCCCAUCUCGAUGCAGACUCCAAGUCAGUCCCCUUGAUGAUCCAGAGGGUGCAGCUGUCUGACUCUGCUGUGUACUACUGUGCUCUGAGGCGCACUGUGAAAACAGGAUAUACAGCCUCAUUACAACAACUAUUUGAUAGUGUGAUAUAA
Salvelinus sp. IW2-2015 is the source of this 452-nucleotide non-coding RNA. Lineage: Eukaryota; Metazoa; Chordata; Actinopteri; Salmoniformes; Salmonidae. The record is from the annotation of a RefSeq genome assembly.